RNAcentral lists this ribosomal RNA (254 nucleotides) under uncultured bacterium. Its description in RNAcentral is "partial 16S ribosomal RNA". It matches the Rfam family "Bacterial small subunit ribosomal RNA", at positions 524 to 776 of the family's 1533-position model. The record is from RNAcentral.
UACGGGGGGAGCAAGCGUUGUUCGGAUUUACUGGGCGUAAAGGGCGCGUAGGCGGCCUCCGCAAGUCGACUGUGAAAUCUCCGGGCUUAACCCGGAAAGGUCAGCCGAUACUGCGGGGCUAGAGUGCGGAAGGGGCAACUGGAAUUCUUGGUGUAGCGGUGAAAUGCGUAGAUAUCGAGAGGAACACCUGCGGCGAAGGCGGGUUGCUGGGCUGACACUGACGCUGAGGAGCGAAAGCCAGGGGAGCAAACAGG